Long non-coding RNA from Toxotes jaculatrix (banded archerfish), 323 nucleotides. RefSeq lists it as uncharacterized. The record is from RefSeq and is a predicted model, not a curated record. The transcript has 3 exons. Lineage: Eukaryota; Metazoa; Chordata; Actinopteri; Toxotidae.
CCUCCCUUAGCGGCGCGCACGCUUUCACUUACGUCCCGCCGUUAGGGCUGGCGGAAUGACGUCAUUCCGCUCAGAAGAAUCAGGAACAGGAGCACGUGAGCGCGCCGGGGAGCGAGGUGCAUCCUUGGAAACUCGAGGUCGUGCAUACUAACUAAUGAGCGUAAGAAGUGAGUGACCUCAGAGAAAAUAUGGUGAACUUAUGGACUAGAACAAAUGGGCCUCACCAAAAUGGAGUCUCUGAAAGAGAUUGGAAGUGACUAAAGCCGGCGUUAUGAGUGAACAGAUCUUUCUCCAUACUACACUAAAGCGAGGGUGCACCAGUG